Molecule: long non-coding RNA, 399 nt
Filed under: Equus caballus (horse)
Lineage: Eukaryota; Metazoa; Chordata; Mammalia; Perissodactyla; Equidae
Description: lncRNA (ENSECAG00000053490.1)
Source: RNAcentral
GCCAAGGAGUAGGUCCUCAGGAGAAAGAAAACCUGCCAACACCUUGAUCUUGGACUUCCAGCCCCCAGAUCUGUGAGAAAAUUUUUAUUGCAGCUGAAUGGAUGUGGCUACUCCUGUUCUUCUGGUGCAGAGUUGACUAGGUCAAAGUUCAGAAGUGAGUAUGAACCAACGCAAAGGUGACUGAAUAGAGAUAAAAUUUGGAAGAAGGUUAAGCUGAGCUUUUAGCAUCAUAUUGAGGAGAGGCAGAGGGAGUUCUGAAGCAGAUACACAAAGAAGAAGAUUACAUAGAGACAAAUGUGAAGAGAGCAGAGACAGAGGUAACACGAGCCAAGGAAUGACAAUAAUCACUAGAAGCUGGAAGAGACAGGGAACAAAAUCUCUCUUAGAGCCUCUGGAGGG